CUUGAAACGCCUGAUCCGUUUGAU
RNAcentral lists this non-coding RNA (24 nucleotides) under Arabidopsis thaliana (thale cress). Lineage: Eukaryota; Viridiplantae; Streptophyta; Magnoliopsida; Brassicales; Brassicaceae. The record is from RNAcentral.